RNAcentral lists this ribosomal RNA (467 nucleotides) under uncultured bacterium. RNAcentral's name for it is "partial 16S ribosomal RNA". It matches the Rfam family "Bacterial small subunit ribosomal RNA", at positions 28 to 506 of the family's 1533-position model. The record is from RNAcentral.
GACGAACGCUGGCGGCGUGCUUAACACAUGCCAGUCGAACGGAAAGGCCCUGCAUUUGUGGGGUGCUCGAGUGGCGAACGGGUGAGUAACACGUGAGUAACCUGCCCUUGACUUUGGGAUAACUUCAGGAAACUGGGGCUAAUACCGGAUAGGAGCACCUGCUGCAUGGUGGGGGUUGGAAAGUUUCGGCGGUUGGGGAUGGACUCGCGGCCUAUGAGUCUGUUGGUGGGGUAGUGGCUUACCAAGGCUUUGACGGGUAGCCGGCCUGAGAGGGUGACCGGCCGCAUUGGGACGGAGAUGAGGCCGAGACGCCUACGGGAGGCAGCAGUGGGGAAGAAUGCAGAAUGGGCGAAGGCCUGAUGAAGCAGCGCCGCGGGCGGUAGGAAGGCGUUCGGGUGGUAAACCGCUUUCGCCUGUAACGAAGCGUAAGUGACGGAAAUGGGUAAAGAAGCACCGGCUAACUACGG